Molecule: long non-coding RNA, 323 nt
Organism: Aricia agestis (brown argus)
Lineage: Eukaryota; Metazoa; Arthropoda; Insecta; Lepidoptera; Lycaenidae
Exons: 3
Source: RefSeq, a predicted model, not a curated record
UUUUAAAAUUAAUGCAACAGACGUCUGUCAAAAUCUGUGGUCAAAGUGAAGGUUACAGUUAAGUUAGCCUUAACUAUAACCAUAACUUUGACCAUAACUGUAACUAUAACCACGCCUCUGGUGUAACCCACCCAUAUAGUUAACUUUUUCACGGCAGGUAAUAGAAGCUCACACUGAGCACAUAUCCAAUGUAAUCUCUUGUGAAAGACAUUAAGAUCGAUUUUAAUGUUUCUUUUUUAGUCACUAAUUUAUUCAAACUUUAUUUUUUUAAUUUACAAAAUAAAAUCAAACCUUAAUACCACUUUGAUGUUUCUUGUUCUGGU